CCUACAUCAGCAUGAUGGAAAUGAGCUUAGCUACUGAUUCAGUUCCAGCAGAACAUUUUUGAAGCUAAAUAGCCAUCUUAUCAUCAGAGAGAUACUCGACUUUCAUAAAGGAAAAAUAUAGAAUAAAAAUCCCAAAUAAAGAGGAUUCUCAACUUCCCAGGAUCCCAGGAACAUAGGAAGCUGCCAUAUCCUGCAUCAGACCAUUGGUCUAUCUAGCUCAGUACUGUCUUCACAGAAGGUUACACGCAGGAAUCUCUCUCAGCCCAUCUUGGAGAAGCCAGGGAGGGAACCUGAAACCUUCUGCUCUUCCCAGAGUGGCUCCAUCCCCUGCGGGGAAUAUCUUACAGUGCUCACACUUCUAGUCUCCCAUUCAUAUGAAACCAGGGUGGACCCUGCUUAGCUAAGGUGACAAGUCAUGCUUGCUACCACAAGACCAACUCUCCUCUAUUGUUCUGUUGGGGUGGGGGGCUAGGAUGAGAAAUAUGUGGCUCUGGUUUUUCAUCCUUAUGAAACUACGGUUCCCAGGAUUUGGGGGAGAAGGCCGUGACAUGACAAAUAAAAGCAAGUUAAGUGUGUUGACAUGUGCAUAUGUAUAUACUUAUCUGGUAGUGCUAUCAUUGCCUGUGUUUCAUAUGCUUCUGUUUCAUAGCAUAGAAAAGUACUUUGAUCACUUAAAAUAUAUUGUUUUUUGAUUAACAAAAAAAUUGGAAACUAUCCAUCAAAACAUCAAUCAUAUGUUUGCUCAGAAGAUUCCAUAUGUAGACCAAAUAUGUCCAUGUGGCUCUGAACUGGUGGAAAUUGCUCUUUUUACCGUGAUCUGUGAAAAACUCUUAUACUACUUGUUUUAGUAAAUACAGCAGGAUGUUGGGUUGAUUCUUAUGUAUAUUAUCUUUUGGCUGCUCAGAAUUCAUAUAAUAUUGCUAAAAAUUUGCAUUUCGGCUUGUAGAAUCCAUCGUGAAAUAACUUUACACUGCAUCAAUGUCUGAUAAUGUUGACUAAAUAUUGUAGAUUAAUGGAUAUAGCAGCAGCAACAACAACAAUAAUUAAUAGUAAUUUGUAAUAGUAAUUUGUUUGGUAUUUGAGAGCAGUAUGCUCCAUUAUAUUUUAUUGUAUCUGUAUUGUAUUGCUGUUCUAAGACUGUAAAUAAAAUCUGAUCUGA
This is a long non-coding RNA of Hemicordylus capensis (graceful crag lizard), 1159 nucleotides long. RefSeq lists it as uncharacterized. The record is from RefSeq and is a predicted model, not a curated record. The transcript has 2 exons. Lineage: Eukaryota; Metazoa; Chordata; Lepidosauria; Squamata; Cordylidae.